ACCUAAACUGUAUUUAUCUAAACUUACUUUAAAGUGUAACAGAAAUAUAUUUGUCAAAUAUAGGACAGGUUUGUUGGACUUAAUGGUAAAUAGAGGCAGAAAAUGGUCCAUCCCAAAAUCUGAAAGAUCUUGUCCUUUAUGUAAUUCUUCAGUAGAAGAUGAACUACAUUUUACCCUUGACUGUCCAUUUUAUGAAGAUUUACGUUACAUGUAUAUCUCAGAACGUUAUCUGUCGGAACCACCACUGAUAGCUUUUACAAGUUUAUUAACAACUAAUUAUGAAUCCACCCUACGCAAUCUAGCUCUCUAUGUUAAAUAUGCAUUUAUUCGUCGUAACGAGCACUUACAGUUAACCAUGUCCUAAUGUAUAUAACUCGCUUGUAUAAGGGCCGGUGGCCUAAAAUACAAUAAACGAUUGUCUUGUCUUGAUAACACUACAUAUUUUGUCACCCAUUUCUG
Molecule: long non-coding RNA, 459 nt
Organism: Haliotis rubra (blacklip abalone)
Lineage: Eukaryota; Metazoa; Mollusca; Gastropoda; Lepetellida; Haliotidae
Exons: 4
Source: RefSeq, a predicted model, not a curated record